RNAcentral lists this long non-coding RNA (1242 nucleotides) under Nicotiana tabacum (common tobacco). Its description in RNAcentral is "long non-coding RNA (NTAB_LNC008458)". The record is from RNAcentral. Lineage: Eukaryota; Viridiplantae; Streptophyta; Magnoliopsida; Solanales; Solanaceae.
GCAAAAUCAUCAGUGUAUACCAGCUGAUCAGGUGGUGGUGCGUAUAUAACGUCGUAACCUUUCCCCAUAUCCCAUAUACAUAGAAUAUAUGCAUAUAUAAUGCAAUCUGGUCAUGGGUCAAUGUACAUGUAUAAAUGAAUGCAAUGCAUAAUGAAGUAAGUCAAUAAAACCUCUCGGAUAAACUUUAUCAACUUACAUAUUUUUCUAAGACUCGUGAAUAGAUGAUAUAAUAAUAGGACACAUGGGGAAUCAAGAACAUAGGCACUCCUAGUACUUCUAUGAAUAGAGCCAUAUAUGAAAGUUGUGUGUUUGCUCGUUUCGUUUGUAUCAUAUGGAUCAUGCCAAAAGUAAAGAAGGGAUAGCCUUAACAUACCUUUGUCGUUUACCUAACCACACGACGUCGGUUCAGCCCAUUAGUACUUCAAUCUACAAGAAACAAUAAGGACCAUUGUUAAGCUUACGGAAGCUAGAACUCAACACAAAUGAGCGACUAGCUCAUCUACGAAAUUUUGGACAGCACCUCCCCUUAUUCUUUUCUCUUUACUCAAAUCCACAAACAAUACCAACAUGUCCAUAAUAUAAACAAACAUAUUACAUCAAUAUCCAACCUUAUAUCCAUCGCAAUACAUCACCAAAACAGUCCACACAAUCUCAUACAACAACCAAGUGCUACUUUGCGCUUUUCAUUCCUAUAACUUAGCUAGAACUUGAAUACACUUCAAUAAUGACAACCACAAUAUACUCAGGUUAUACAUACUGAUUUUUAAGCCACAACACCACAUAAAAACGAACUCCUAACAGUCCGCAAAUUACAACAACUAAAAAUUGAUUUUCAGAUUAUUACUUCAUCAACUCUUACUCCCACAACUUAGUUAAGGCACCAAUAAGAUUAAACACAACAUGUACAAGACAAUACUCUUAUGUGACAGCCAUUUAAUAAUAUGAAACUACUCCAAACAUUUCAUAACACCACAACAACUUCAACUCAAUUUCCAGCUAGAACUUAGAUAAACUCAAAUAUAUGAAAGAGGGAGGAUUUUCUUACCUAUAUCAGAUCUUGUAUGGAUGAAACAAUGGUAGUAUAUUUCCCUUGAUGGCCAUUAACUUGCUUCACAUCAGAUCCUUCAAGAUUGGAGAUUACCCUUUAACUUGAAUUGAAAGAAGAAGAAGAUUAUCAACAACUUCUUGAGAGUUUGGAGUAGGUCAAUUUGGAAGAGAAUUUCGUGGCUCUCUUUAUGUUUC